Molecule: small nuclear RNA, 81 nt
Filed under: Pan troglodytes (chimpanzee)
Lineage: Eukaryota; Metazoa; Chordata; Mammalia; Primates; Hominidae
Source: RNAcentral
AUCACUUCUUGGCCUUUUGGCUAAGAUCAAGUGUAGUAAAUGUUUCCACUACCUACCACACAAGAUCGUACGGGAUGCUUU